Molecule: ribosomal RNA, 303 nt
Filed under: uncultured bacterium
Lineage: Bacteria
Description: partial 16S ribosomal RNA
Rfam family: Bacterial small subunit ribosomal RNA
Source: RNAcentral
AGCAGUAGCCGCGGGAAUACGUAGGUCCCGAGCGUUGUCCGGAUUUAUUGAGCGUAAAGCGAGCGCAGGCGGUUAGAUAAGUCUGAAGUUAAAGGCUGUGGCUUAACCAUAGUACGCUUUGGAAACUGUUUAACUUGAGUGCAAGAGGGGAGAGUGGAAUUCCAUGUGUAGCGGUGAAAUGCGUAGAUAUAUGGAGGAACACCGGUGGCGAAAGCGGCUCUCUGGCUUGUAACUGACGCUGAGGCUCGAAAGCGUGGGGAGCAAACAGGAUUAGAUACCCCUGUAGUCCCUGUCUCUUAUACC